UUUAUAAAAAAAGUAAUAUAUGGGUAGUAAGUACAAAUUGUAAGGAUAAGACGUGUAUGAAAGUGCACAGGUACAACCCCAAAGCAUCACGAACUUUUAAAUACUAUCAUCCGCUUACCCAUUUAGAUAUAAUGGUAAUGUAUAUCUUCAUAUGCUCACACAUAAAUACAUACAUACAUACAUAUAUAUAUAUAUAUACACUAUCGUUUUUUCUCACAAAUGUAAUAGUUCGGUACAGGCAUCAUCAAGGGAGUAAUCGGGAUAGAUAAGUUUCAAGUAGGUGAUUUUGUAGUACAUAACCAGUGUUUUGGAUUGGUGAAAAGAGAAAAAGGAAUAGAAGAUAAACCUAAUGUAUUUGAAAAACUUUUUUUCGAAGGUAUUAUAGGGUUGGCAUUUUCUUCUAUGCUUUCUACGGGGCAUGAAUCGUUUUAUGACAAUUUAAAUAAUAAUUACAAAUUUAAACAUAAUGAGUUUUCCAUAUAUAUUGGAAAUGAUGGAAAAUACUCAGCUAUGAUAUUUGGGGGAGUAGAAAAGAAGUUUUAUGAAGGAAUUAUUUUUAUGUUUCCUGUUAUUAAAGAAUAUUAUUGGGAAAUUGAAUUUGAUGGUUUGUACAUCGAUCAAGUAAAAUUCUGUUGUGGUAAAUAUACACUUGCAUAUGAUAUGGUUAAAAAAGAGAAAAAAGAAAGAAAAAGAGAAAGAAAUUUUUUUAUGAAUAAAUAUAACUAUAUAAAAAAAAGGCUUCGGCUAAAAAGUAAUUCUGAUACAGACAUGGAUACUGAUAGCAUCGCCGAUGGCAGCACCGAUGGUAACAUUGAUAAAUACCAGUAUAGUCAUAUUUUAGCAGAUAAAAAAAAUUAUUUAAUAUUUGAUUCGGGAACUUCUUUUAAUAGUGUUCCUAAAUCAGAAAUGAAAUAUUUUUUUCAGUUAAUCCCUCCAAGGCCUUGUGAUGAUAACAACAUUGAAGAAGUGAUGAAUCGUUACCCCAAUAUUACCUAUCUAAUAAAUAAAAUACCUUUCGUACUGACGCCAUCCCAAUACUUGAUACAAAAAGAUGGCGUAUGUAAACCUGCUUUUAUGGAAAUAGAUGUUUCAAAUAAAUAUGGCCAUGCAUACAUUGUUGGUAAUGCCAUAUUCAUGAGGAACUACUAUACGGUUUACCGGAAAGGAUCCCAUAACACAAAAUCAUACGUAAGUCGAAAUAUGUUAAUACGUAGAUACAUGCAUACAUAUAUGUAUGUAUAUAUCUAUCUAUCUAUCUAUCU
This 1262-nucleotide long non-coding RNA is filed under the name Piliocolobus tephrosceles (Ugandan red Colobus). RNAcentral's name for it is "lncRNA (ENSPTEG00000004861.1)". The record is from RNAcentral. Lineage: Eukaryota; Metazoa; Chordata; Mammalia; Primates; Cercopithecidae.